UUUGUAGACCAGAUGUAGCAAUUAACAACAAUAUUUUAAUUGAGAAAUUGAAACAGCAUCGUUUUCAGAUGCACACGCAUUGUUUGAAUUAUUAUAAAUAAUGAGUUUGUGCAACGAGAUGAGGACAUUCAACUGGAUUGUUGACCUUUUUAACUGGGCGAGAGAAAAAUCAGGUCACCAUAUCACAGUAUACAGUAAAUCAUAACUUAUGACCUCUUCCAGAAUGAAAAAGUGGAUAUAUUUUAGGAAAGCUUCAUCUUUUAAAGAAGAUUAAUAACGAUGACGAACCUAUACCAUACUAUAUAGCUUGUUAAAAUAAAAUAAUGUUGUUGGGUU
This is a long non-coding RNA of Leptinotarsa decemlineata (Colorado potato beetle), 336 nucleotides long. RefSeq lists it as uncharacterized. The record is from RefSeq and is a predicted model, not a curated record. Lineage: Eukaryota; Metazoa; Arthropoda; Insecta; Coleoptera; Chrysomelidae.